UGGGGAAUUUUGGACGAUGGGGGCAACCCUGAUCCAGCCAUGCCGCGUGAGUGAAGAAGGCCUUCGGGUUGUAAAGCUCUUUCGGUGGGAACGAAACGGUGGAGACUAAUACUGUCCACUUCUGACGGUACCUACAGAAGAAGCACCGGCUAACUACGUGCCAGCAGCCGCGGUAAUACGUAGGGUGCGAGCGUUAAUCGGAAUUACUGGGCGUAAAAGCGUGCGCAGGCGGCGCGUUAAGACAGGUGUGAAAGCCCCGAGCUUAACUUGGGAAUUGCGCUUGUGACUGGCGUGCUGGAGUGUGGCAGAGGGAGGUGGAAUUCCACGUGUAGCAGUGAAAUGCGUAGAGAUGUGGAGGAACACCGAUGGCGAAGGCAGCCUCCUGGGCCAGCACUGACGCUCAUGCACGAAAGCGUGGGGAGCAAACAGG
RNAcentral lists this ribosomal RNA (430 nucleotides) under uncultured bacterium. Its description in RNAcentral is "bacterial SSU rRNA". It matches the Rfam family "Bacterial small subunit ribosomal RNA", at positions 355 to 776 of the family's 1533-position model. The record is from RNAcentral.